RNAcentral lists this ribosomal RNA (568 nucleotides) under Enterobacterales bacterium. Its description in RNAcentral is "bacterial SSU rRNA". It matches the Rfam family "Bacterial small subunit ribosomal RNA", at positions 834 to 1402 of the family's 1533-position model. Lineage: Bacteria; Pseudomonadati; Pseudomonadota; Gammaproteobacteria; Enterobacterales. The record is from RNAcentral.
GAGGCGUGGCUUCCGGAGCUAACGCGUUAAGUCGACCGCCUGGGGAGUACGGCCGCAAGGUUAAAACUCAAAUGAAUUGACGGGGGCCCGCACAAGCGGUGGAGCAUGUGGUUUAAUUCGAUGCAACGCGAAGAACCUUACCUACUCUUGACAUCCAGAGAACUUUCCAGAGAUGGAUUGGUGCCUUCGGGAACUCUGAGACAGGUGCUGCAUGGCUGUCGUCAGCUCGUGUUGUGAAAUGUUGGGUUAAGUCCCGCAACGAGCGCAACCCUUAUCCUUUGUUGCCAGCGGUCCGGCCGGGAACUCAAAGGAGACUGCCAGUGAUAAACUGGAGGAAGGUGGGGAUGACGUCAAGUCAUCAUGGCCCUUACGAGUAGGGCUACACACGUGCUACAAUGGCGCAUACAAAGAGAAGCGAACUCGCGAGAGCAAGCGGACCUCAUAAAGUGCGUCGUAGUCCGGAUUGGAGUCUGCAACUCGACUCCAUGAAGUCGGAAUCGCUAGUAAUCGUAGAUCAGAAUGCUACGGUGAAUACGUUCCCGGGCCUUGCACUCCCCGCCCGUCAAAA